Molecule: ribosomal RNA, 253 nt
Filed under: uncultured bacterium
Lineage: Bacteria
Description: partial 16S ribosomal RNA
Rfam family: Bacterial small subunit ribosomal RNA
Source: RNAcentral
UACGUAGGGUGCGAGCGUUAAUCGGAAUUACUGGGCGUAAAGCGUGCGCAGGCGGUUCGGAAAGAAAGAUGUGAAAUCCCAGAGCUUAACUUUGGAACUGCAUUUUUAACUACCGAGCUAGAGUGUGUCAGAGGGAGGUGGAAUUCCGCGUGUAGCAGUGAAAUGCGUAGAUAUGCGGAGGAACACCGAUGGCGAAGGCAGCCUCCUGGGAUAACACUGACGCUCAUGCACGAAAGCGUGGGGAGCAAACAGG